GGGGUCGUAGUUGAGAUUGGUUACAACACUGGCCUGUCACGCCAGAGGCCGCGGGUUCGAGCCCCGUCGACCCCGCCA
Molecule: transfer RNA, 78 nt
Filed under: Deltaproteobacteria bacterium
Lineage: Bacteria; Pseudomonadati; Myxococcota; Myxococcia
Description: tRNA-Asp
Rfam family: tRNA
About the family: Transfer RNA (tRNA) molecules are approximately 80 nucleotides in length. Their secondary structure includes four short double-helical elements and three loops (D, anti-codon, and T loops). Further hydrogen bonds mediate the characteristic L-shaped molecular structure. tRNAs have two regions of fundamental functional importance: the anti-codon, which is responsible for specific mRNA codon recognition, and the 3' end, to which the tRNAs corresponding amino acid is attached (by aminoacyl-tRNA synthetases). tRNAs cope with the degeneracy of the genetic code in two manners: having more than one tRNA (with a specific anti-codon) for a particular amino acid; and 'wobble' base-pairing, i.e. permitting non-standard base-pairing at the 3rd anti-codon position.
Source: RNAcentral